AUUUAAAUAGUUUAUAAAAAUGUCGAUUUGUGGUGUCGGAGAUAUGAAAAACUUUCAUUUUAAAUCA
RNAcentral lists this transfer RNA (67 nucleotides) under Brillia brevicornis. RNAcentral's name for it is "tRNA-His". Lineage: Eukaryota; Metazoa; Arthropoda; Insecta; Diptera; Chironomidae. The record is from RNAcentral.